UCUGGUCAGGAUGAACGCUGGCGGCGUGCCUAAUACAUGCAAGUCGAACGAGGUAGCAAUACCGAGUGGCGAACGGGUGAGUAACACGUAGGUAACCUGCCCUUAAGCUUGGGAUACCCAGAGGAAACUUUGGCUAAUACCGGAUAACAACAGAGAAGGCAUCUCUUUGCUUGAAAGGCCCCUUCAAGGGUCACUUAAGGAUGGACCUGCGGCGCAUUAGCUAGUUGGUGAGAUAACAGCCCACCAAGGCGAGGAUGCGUAGCCGAACUGAGAGGUUGAUCGGCCACAUUGGAACUGAGACACGGUCCAAACUCCUACGGGAGGCAGCAGUAAGGAGUUUUCGGCAAUGGGGGAAACCCUGACCGAGCAACGCCGCGUGAGCGAUGACGGUCCUUUGGAAUUGUAAAGCUCUGUUGUAAGCCAUGAAUGACAGCUUGAGGAAAUGCAAGUUGUUUGACGACAGCUUACCAGAAAGCCACGGCUAACUACGUGCCAGCCGCGGC
RNAcentral lists this ribosomal RNA (503 nucleotides) under uncultured bacterium. RNAcentral describes it as "bacterial SSU rRNA". It matches the Rfam family "Bacterial small subunit ribosomal RNA", at positions 19 to 518 of the family's 1533-position model. The record is from RNAcentral.